GGCAUUUCUGAGUUCGAGGCCAGCCUGGUCUACAGAGUGAGUUCCAGGACAGCCAGGGCUAUACAGAGAAACCCUGUCUUGAAAAACCAAAACAAAACAAAACAAAAAAAAAACCUAGAACUCAGUGGACCUGAGUUGCAUGUCUGUAAUCUCAGCAUCCAGGAGGCUGAGGCAGGGCUACACAGGGAGAUAUUAUACAUACACAUAUAUAGGUAGGUAGAUAGAUUUAUUUAUUUUUAUUUAUAUGAGUACAGUGUCACUGUUUUCAGACACACACCAGAAGAGUUCAUCGGAUCCCAUUACAGAUGGCUGUGAGCCACCAUGUGGCUCACGGGAACUGAACUCAGGACCUCUGGGAGAGCAGCCAGUGCCAAUACUCUUAGCCACUGAGCCAUCUCUCCAGCCCCAUUCAUAACAUAUUUUUUAAGUGUGUAUUUGCAGUGUAUUGUUAGAUAGUGACAGGACAGGACAACUUUUUCCUCAGGCUUCCAGCACAUUCUGACGCAAUGUCAUCUGUCAGCUCUGGAAAGGAGGGCAAAGGAGAAACAGGCUCAACCCACACAAAGGUGGCCAAACCCUGAAAGACCUUGGACCUCCAGAAACUGUGGACACAGUUCAAUCCCUACAGAGGUUUGAAAAAAAUUCAGACCCUGAGGCUCGCUGCAGUUUAGCAUGCGAGGUGGGAUACCACAAGAAAGGAAGGUCCCUCUUUCAGACACUGCAGAGUCCAGAGUUGGUCCUAAUUGUUUCCCAUGCCUUACAGCACACACAUUCCUCCUGAAUCACUCACACCACUAACAGAGGCUGAUCUGAGUGUCCAGCGCCUUUAAGUGUGAUUCCCCCUAAUCGACUUAUCACAAGUAGAAAGGCAGUAAGACUCUAAGUAGUAGUCCUCUGCCUAGGAAGGAAGGGAAAUAUCUGUAAGUGGUUUAAAACUCUUUAAGGUGCUUCAAGAUGUUGACAAAUGAAUGAUGAGCUUCCCAGGCUAAAAAUAUUGCUCCUCCUAGGUCUAUCCUAAUCACAUUGAAACAUAAGAUAGCCAGAGAGCAGAGACACUUCUUCGGGAGCUGAAAUCAAGGCCCGGCGGUGCACGUGAUUUAGGGCUCGCUACAAAACCUUGCUACCCACUUCUGCACUUUACUAAGAGAAGAGAGACUUAAGAUAAGCAGCACUGCCCUGGGGCCAAAGAGAAGGCUGAGCAGGCAAAAGGCGUUGCUGCUAAGCCUGAGGACCUGAGUUCCAUCUGAGAUCCACAUGGCGGACGGAGGGGGGAACCGUUUCCGGCAAAGUUGUCCUCUGCCUCCCACCAGCACCAUGCUGCGCACAUGUACACAAAAAUAAACAAAAAAUCAAAAGUAAACAUAACUUGCCCUCUGCCUGCCAGCACACUGGUGGUAAAACCCUCUCCACAUCCCACUCCGCCUUUGGCUUAGAAACCCCUUCCGAGGCCAUAUCAGCACGACUUCCAGGCAGCCCAAGCAUCAACAGUGGCCCUCACUGUCCCACAAGCGAAGCGGGAUUUGGUUAAAUCUGCAGGUGAAGAACUCGGAGGGGAGUCCUUGGCUAAGACAACCAAACCCAGCCAAGCGAGGGUUGGAUCCUCAGCUAAAGCUCAGUGGCGUCUGUUAUUUAAAGUACGUCCCCUUUCUACUAACGCACUGGGAGGGAAGGAGUCCUCAGAGCGGCGCCCCAACUUGAAAAGGAAAGAAAGCCCCAUGCAGGGCCCUGCAGCUGUGUGCUGAGGACCUAACCGGAGCCCGCCACCCUUCCUGACCAAGCCCAGAGGGCUCCGAGGGGUCGCCGAGCGGGAAGCCAGGGCCUGAGACCCGGUCGAGACCCCGACCCGGGACUGUGGCGUCAGGGUCGCCGCCCCACUGCCUGCCGCGCGCCCAGCGGCGCCCCAGCCGCGACCCCUGACAGUCGCGACGGGGCAGUCCCACUCCCCUCACCUGGU
Long non-coding RNA from Mus musculus (house mouse), 1954 nucleotides. RefSeq annotates it as predicted gene, 46722. Lineage: Eukaryota; Metazoa; Chordata; Mammalia; Rodentia; Muridae. The record is from RefSeq and is a predicted model, not a curated record. The transcript has 3 exons.